This 157-nucleotide unclassified non-coding RNA is filed under the name uncultured Mortierella. RNAcentral's name for it is "sequence contains ITS1". Lineage: Eukaryota; Fungi; Mortierellomycota; Mortierellomycetes; Mortierellales; Mortierellaceae. The record is from RNAcentral.
UAAUAAGUGUUCUACUGCACUUUUUAAAAAUAGUACUCACCUUGUGUGCAAUGUUGUGUGGAAUUCCUACUUUCGAGUGAGAAUUUCACACCUACACCAACCUAUAAACUUGAAAUACUUUGUCUGAAAAACUAUUAUGAAUACUUAAUUCAAAAUA